CAAAUGCCCCACAGAUGAGGGAGAGACUUUUCCGCCUCUCUCUUGCUGAAAUAGUUUGUCGCACCUGGACCAUUGGCCAUUGUCACGGCUCGGCCGCAGCAGCGCGGGCACGGCGCUACAAGAAAUCUUUGCAUUGCUAUUGGGAUCAGAGGUCACCGCUGCAGGGGACCAGGGCUGGUUUAUUAAACAGACAAGUCUGUUUAAGGUGUAAUUCCUCAGGAAGAGCAGUGUGCUUGUGGCCAUUUAAACGAGUUAACGGAGCGUGCCCGUUCAAGUCCGUCUGUGCUUUUCCCCAGGCACAAACCCCAGCUCGACGGGCGGGCGCCCAGGGUUGCUGUCGGCCGAGUCGCUCAGCCCCGCAGGUCCGUGACCUCUGGCUCCUGCCCAUGUCACAUCCCCGUCCUCCGGGUGGAAACUGCGGAAGAAAGUGCAGGAUACGCCUCGGUUUCGCUGACACCGCUCCAGCCGCGCUGGCUCCCGCACUGCUAUUUCUGCUGCAGCUUCCUGUCCUUGACCCAGCGAUACAUUGUGAAGUUCUCCUGAGUCAAUGAAUCCUGGUAAAAUGCAGUAAAGGAUUUAAGGUUAUCGUCUGUCUCUCUCUAACUUCUGACAUCUCUUUAUAACAAGAAAGAGUCACAGCAAACUGUAACAGGAGGGCAACACAAUGAAUUCUGGUAAGGCAGGAAAGGGGGGAGGUUCAACUUUGCUGCCCCUUUGCCCCUAUUUCUUCCUCACAGAACAGAAGUGCCAUCUGUUACUAGUCCUAACAUGCAUACAUUUGAUUUCCAUUCAG
Molecule: long non-coding RNA, 793 nt
Filed under: Lonchura striata (white-rumped munia)
Lineage: Eukaryota; Metazoa; Chordata; Aves; Passeriformes; Estrildidae
Description: domestica (Bengalese finch) lncRNA (ENSLSDG00000010918.1)
Source: RNAcentral